RNAcentral lists this ribosomal RNA (268 nucleotides) under uncultured prokaryote. Its description in RNAcentral is "partial 16S ribosomal RNA". It matches the Rfam family "Bacterial small subunit ribosomal RNA", at positions 524 to 792 of the family's 1533-position model. The record is from RNAcentral.
UACGUAGGGGCUAGCGUUAUCCAGAAUUACUGGGCGUAAAGGGUGCGUAGGCGGUCUUUCAAGCCAGAAGUGAAAUACCCGGGCUCAACUUGGGUGCUGCAUUUCAAACUGGAAGUCUAGAGUGCAGGAGAGGAGAAUGGAAUUCCUAGUGUAGCGGUGAAAUGCGUAGAGAUUAGGAAGAACACCAGUGGCAAAGGCGAUUCUCUGGACUGUAACUGACGCUGAGGCUCGAAAGCGUGGGGAGCAAACAGGAUUAGAUACCCCCGUA